This 301-nucleotide ribosomal RNA is filed under the name uncultured bacterium. RNAcentral describes it as "partial 16S ribosomal RNA". It matches the Rfam family "Bacterial small subunit ribosomal RNA", at positions 509 to 809 of the family's 1533-position model. The record is from RNAcentral.
CAGUAGCCGCGGUAAUACGUAGGGUGCAAGCGUUAAUCGGAAUUACUGGGCGUAAGGCGUGCGCAGGCGGCUUGUUAAGACAGAUGUGAAAUCCCCGGGCUCAACCUGGGAACUGCAUUUGUGACUGGCAAGCUAGAGUCUGGCAGAGGGGGGUGGAAUUCCGCGUGUAGCAGUGAAAUGCGUAGAUAUGCGGAGGGACACCGAUGGCGAAGGCAGCCCCCUGGGCCAACACUGACGCUCAUGCACGAAAGCGUGGGGAGCAAACAGGAUUAGAUACCCCCGUAGUCCCUGUCUCUUAUAU